RNAcentral lists this unclassified non-coding RNA (1693 nucleotides) under Hevea brasiliensis (rubber tree). Lineage: Eukaryota; Viridiplantae; Streptophyta; Magnoliopsida; Malpighiales; Euphorbiaceae. The record is from RNAcentral.
UAGUUUUGGUUGAUUUAGGGUAUUCGAAGGAGAGAUGGUGUAGGUGAAGAUUAGGAAAUUAUUGUUUAAUUAAAUGUUAAUUAAGGAUAUAAAGAGUAAUAGAAUGAGGAUAGUUUAGUGAGGAAAUUUAGUGGAGAAAAGAGGUUGAAUAAUUUAGUUAGAAGGUAAGAGAAAGAAUGAUAUGGUGAGAUUAAGUUUUGGUGAAUAAGGUUUGUAUUUUAUUUUUUAAAGUAGUUUUUAUAUUUUAAGUUAUGUAUAGAGGAUAAUGGGGGAAGGGGUUGAGUUUUGUAGUAAAUUAGGUUUUUUUUUUGUAAAUUUAUUAUAUGUAAAAGUUUAGGUGAUUUGUAUUAUUUUUUGGUUUGGAGGUUUGUUAAUAUUUUAAGAUUUUUUUUUUAGAAAAUUUAUUUUUUUUUAAAGGUGGUUGGUUAGGAGUUAUUUUUUAAAAAAGUAUUAGAUAAAGUUGUAUUUUUAUAGAGUAAAGGUGUGGUGGGUUAUAAUAAGAAAAAGAAUUAAUUUAAGGGUUUUAGGUUAUAAAUAUUAAAGUUAUUAUUUAUAUUAAUUAUAUUAAUUAAUAUAUUGUUAGGGAUAUAGUAGGUAAGGGAUAUGGAAAUUUAGUAGUAAAUAAUGGUUUAAUAAGUGAAAAAUUAUUUAUUAAUAUAAUUUUUAAUUAAUUUUGUAAUUAUUUAAAAGAAUUUGUGUUUAGAUAGUUUAGAAUAUUUUUUGUUUUUUAUAGUUGGGAGGUUUUGAAUAAUUUUAUGUGGUUGGAAAAAUUUAUUUAGGUAGGUUAGAGGAUUUUUAAAGGAGUUUGUAGGUUAAAUAUUGUUAUAUUUAGGAAUUAUUAAUUGGAAUUGUAAGUUAAUUUUUUUUUUAGAGAGAGGUAGUGGGGGAGAGUUUUUUGUAAAGUUAGAGGUUUAGGUGAAAGUAUAAGUAGAAAGUAGGUAGAUUUUGGUUUUGGGGGUAUAUGUUUGAGAAUUUUUAGGGGGAUUUUUGAAGUUUGAUUUUGUUUUUGUGUAUGUUGAGUUUUUUUUUUUAUGAUUUUUGUUAUGGGUGGAGUUUUUUAUGGGUUUUUAGUAGUGAUAGAAUUUUAGUGGAGUUAUUUUAGAUUUUGAAAGAUGAUGUUGUGGAAAGUGUUGUAUUUAAUAUGUAAUAUGUAAUAUGUAUUUAAUAUGUAAUAUGUUGGUUUAUGGUAGUAGGGGAAUUUGGUUUCGAGAUGUGUUGAAGAAGGUUUUUUGAGGUUUUUUUUGGGUUGAGGUAGGAAAUUUUGGGUUUUUUUGAUUUGUGUAGGUGAUUUUAGGGGGUUUUUUAUGGUGGUUUUGAGAAGUUAGGGAAAUUGGAGGUGGGAGGGGUUUUUUGGGAUUUUAUUGGGUUUGGUGUAUUGGAAGAGGGUUUUAUUUUUAGUUGAGGUAGGAAUUGUAGGGUAUUUUUGAUUUUAGAUUUCGAUCGUAGGGUUUUUGUAGAUUGGGGAUAGGAGAGUUAGGUUUUGUUUUGGGUUGAGGUAUGGAAUUUUGUUUGUUUUUUGAGAUGUUUUUGGGGAGAGAGGUUGUUUGUUGAGUUGUAUUUGGAAUUUGGGGUUUUUUUUGAACGAUGUAUGGAAAAAUUGUUUUUUUGUGUUGAUUUUAUUUAUAGGGUGGAGUUUGGAGAGGUGUUUGGGUAUUGGGUUUUUAUUAAGAGGGGAUUGGGAAAUUGGGGUUUU